UUGAAAUUGGCGAGAAAUGAUGAAACUUACGAUCUCGACCGCCACGGACGCCACCUCGAGUUGGAUGAUACAUGUUUGUCGAUGUUUCCAAAUUAUUUGAUUUUUGGUUUCACUUUUCUUAAUCGAUAGGACUCUAAAGUUGAUGUUUAAGAAAAGUUUCAAAUCAAGGAUCAAUGUUUUAUUCCCAAAAAAUAGUUGCAAAUUCUCCCAUCGUCGUUAAUAUAAUAAACUGUUUGGGUCAAGAAAAGUUAUUUGAGUCAACAAGACUGAUUUAUUUAAUUUAAAAUUAUGACUAUAUAUAAAAAAAAUGACUAUAUAUCAAAAAAAUAUUAUCAAUCCUCU
RNAcentral lists this long non-coding RNA (342 nucleotides) under Trifolium pratense (red clover). RNAcentral's name for it is "long non-coding RNA (TPRA_LNC010045)". Lineage: Eukaryota; Viridiplantae; Streptophyta; Magnoliopsida; Fabales; Fabaceae. The record is from RNAcentral.